UGCAAGUCGAACGGCAGCACGGAGCUUGCUCUGGUGGCGAGUGGCGAACGGGUGAGUAAUGCGUCGGAACGUAUCCAAUAAUGGGGGAUAACGCAGCGAAAGCUGUGCUAAUACCGCAUACGCCCUCCGGGGGAAAGCAGGGGAUCUUAGGACCUUGCGUUAAUGGAGCGGCCGACGUCUGAUUAGCUAGUUGGUAGGGUAAAGGCCUACCAAGGCGACGAUCAGUAGCUGGUCUGAGAGGAUGAUCAGCCACACUGGGACUGAGACACGGCCCAGACUCCUACGGGAGGCAGCAGUGGGGAAUUUUGGACAAUGGGCGCAAGCCUGAUCCAGCCAUUCCGCGUGAGUGAAGAAGGCCUUCGGGUUGUAAAGCUCUUUCAGGAGGGAAGAAACGAUUGUGGCUAAUACCCAUGAUUAAUGACGGUACCUUCAGAAGAAGCACCGGCUAACUACGUGCCAGCAGCCGCGGUAAUACGUAGGGUGCGAGCGUUAAUCGGAAUUACUGGGCGUAAAGCGUGCGCAGGCGGUUUUUCAAGUCUGAUGUGAAAUCCCCGGGCUUAACCUGGGAACUGCGUUGGAAACUGAAAGACUAGAGUGCGGCAGAGGGGGGUAGAAUUCCACGUGUAGCAGUGAAAUGCGUAGAUAUGUGGAGGAAUACCGAUGGCGAANGCAGCCCCCUGGGUCGACACUGACGCUCAUGCACGAAAGCGUGGGUAGCAAACAGGAUUAGAUACCCUGGUAGUCCACGCCCUAAACGAUGUCAACUAGUUGUUGGGGAGGGAGANCUCCUUAGUAACGCAGCUAACGCGUGAAGUUGACCGCCUGGGGAGUACGGUCGCAAGAUUAAAACUCAAAGGAAUUGACGGGGGCCCGCACAAGCGGUGGAUUAUGUGGAUUAAUUCGAUGCACGCGAAAA
This 916-nucleotide ribosomal RNA is filed under the name uncultured bacterium. RNAcentral's name for it is "bacterial SSU rRNA". It matches the Rfam family "Bacterial small subunit ribosomal RNA", at positions 56 to 967 of the family's 1533-position model. The record is from RNAcentral.